UCCAGAACGCCGGGGUGCCCCACCGAAAGGGGCUGAGAUCAAACUCGUCGAACCUGAUGCAGUUCGCACUGACGAAGGGAGCGCCAUGAACGUCGCG
RNAcentral lists this non-coding RNA (97 nucleotides) under Arachnia propionica. RNAcentral describes it as "Pseudopropionibacterium propionicum TPP sequence". It matches the Rfam family "TPP riboswitch aptamer (THI element)". Rfam says of the family: Vitamin B(1) in its active form thiamin pyrophosphate (TPP) is an essential coenzyme that is synthesised by coupling of pyrimidine and thiazole moieties in bacteria. The previously detected thiamin-regulatory element, thi box was extended, resulting in a new, highly conserved RNA secondary structure, the THI element, which is widely distributed in eubacteria and also occurs in some archaea. Lineage: Bacteria; Bacillati; Actinomycetota; Actinomycetes; Propionibacteriales; Propionibacteriaceae. The record is from Rfam by way of RNAcentral.